RNAcentral lists this ribosomal RNA (133 nucleotides) under uncultured eukaryote. RNAcentral describes it as "partial 18S ribosomal RNA". It matches the Rfam family "Eukaryotic small subunit ribosomal RNA", at positions 1299 to 1458 of the family's 1831-position model. The record is from RNAcentral.
UGGUGGAGCGAUUUGUCUGGUUAAUUCCGAUAACGAACGAGACCUCACCUGCUAACUAGUUGUAACCUUCCGAGGCUCAUCAACUUCUUAGAGGGACUUUGUGCUAAACACAAGGAAGUUUGAGGCAAUAACA